Molecule: long non-coding RNA, 873 nt
Filed under: Gossypium barbadense (sea-island cotton)
Lineage: Eukaryota; Viridiplantae; Streptophyta; Magnoliopsida; Malvales; Malvaceae
Description: long non-coding RNA (GBAR_LNC021127)
Source: RNAcentral
UAAUAUGAAGUGAUUUAUAAUUUUAUAAUUUUGUACUAUUUUAUUUCUAAAAUAUUUUUAAUAUUUCUAUUAUUGUCUUAAUUUUUAGAAUAUAUAAUGUUAUAUCCUUCACAUGCAACGCACACCAGUUAAAAUUAGUUAUUGUAAAAUUAUUGAAUAAGUUAUUGUAAUGGCCCCUUUUGCCCGGGCCCGGUUAAAACCCAAAAAUAAUAAAAUACAUUCCAAAUUACAAAGGGCCUGUAAUGCCCAAUAAAACUAAACCUAAAGCCCAAUAGCCCAACCCCCAAAAUCACCGAAACCCUAAAACUAAAACAGCUUCCAGAAAGACCCCAGUCAUCGUACGUCUCGGAACCGGCCUCCUCCAUGCGCGCCGUACUCCCAUGUUCUCCUACAAAACGGAUUCAAAGAGUCCAAAUAGUGUAAAACAACAAAAAAAAAAGAAGGGAAAAGGUUGUUCUAUUCGGGCUAUAAAAGGCCUAUGUUUUGUAUUGUAAAAAAAAGGAGACAAGAAUACAAAGAAAAACUAUAAAAGGCCUAUCUUUUGUAGUGUUCAUCGAUCUUUUAUUUUUGUUUGUAUUUAUAUUUCUUCUUUUAUUAUUUUUAUUUAUUUUAUUUUACUUAAAUAAAAAAGAAGAGAAGGAGGCAAAGCUUACCUUUCCUCGAAGCCGCCGUGCCACCACCAUAUCCGUCGCAAUCGGAGUUUUGGUGAAGGGACGGAUGAACGACGGCGCAAAAAAGGGUUAAGAAAAGCCCUAGCAGAGCAAACGUUUCAAAAACGUGAAACAAAAUGAUUUUUUUAAUCCUUUUUUAUUAUUUUUGUGUUUAAUUUAACACAUAAACAAAACGGCGCCGUUUAAAGGGGCCAGAUCCGCG